UAUCGGUAUGUCAUUCUGAUAGCAGGAAUAACUUCCGUCAUGUAUCAGGAAUGCCUGUAAAACCCUGGGGCUGGGGUGGGGGGUUGACCGAGCGGGUCCCAGGGACAAAUCUGUUCCUCUGAAAGGUUUGCUUGGUUUUAGAUUUAAAUUUGAAUAUCUUAGGAGGGUGUCACCUGCCAUUCCCGUUAAGCACCUCCUCACCCACACCCUCCUCUCUCCUGGUACUUGGCCCCGAAAUAUACAUAAAAACUGACGGAGGAGGAGGGCUGAAUGGUUGCUUAGUCCUCACUUUCCAUUCUAUGCGGCUAGCAAACGUUUCUUUCAUACCUCAAGGGAGGGUAGGGCUUGGACCCAGAUCUUUCCUGGCAGGGAAAGGGUUGGGGUAGGAGUGGGAACUGCAAGCCAGUAGGGAAGGAAGAGGCCCUGGUUUGGAAGCCGUGGCUAUCGUUCAGAUAGCAGUCAGGGAAGCCAGGACAAAUGAAGCCACAUUUGAAACUUCUUUCAUUCCGCUCUCAGCCACUGCAAUAAGAGAAUGUCCCAGUGUCUUGUCUUCCUUCUCCACGAAAACUGCAGUCUGCGCUUCGUCACCUGAGCUGCUGGGCAACUGUCUAGUGUACAGAGGAAGAAGAACUGGUCCUAACAAUCCUGGAGGGUCUCACUCUCUGGUGCCUCUGACUUAAUUCCUCCUUCUUGACUGUGUUGGCACCAGAUGUAUAGGAAACAGGGGUGGUCCCAGCCAAGGCACCAUGGAAAUCAAACUGGAACAUCCUUGAGCCAAGGUCUCCAGAAGAUUGGUGCUAUCUUGGCACAUGCUGCCCACCACAAAGGAUUGAUGGUUUCCACAGUUAAAAAACCUUUGAGUCUGCAAAAGCUCAGGAGAAGAACAAAGGACAUUUCCAAAUGAAACAUGUUCUGGUUUUUGGCAGCAGCUAGACAGACUGGCAUGAGAGUUCCCAAGCUAUGCCAUACUGUUUCAUCUACUGGAUGUUCUUCAGCAGAAUAAAAUGAUUUAUUUGAAAAAGUUUUGCUGAAGGAAGGUGGGUAAUUCAGAGUCAUCUCUUCUGUGGUAGUGUUGUGGAACAGUUUCCUUCAAGAUUAAAAUAUUCAAUGCUGCAGUAUAGGGAAGUUCCUCAAGCAGAAAGGGAAACAAAACAGCUUCAGGAAGUCCCUGAAACGGACCAGAUUCGCCGGGCCACUUCUCUGCUAUAGUAAGCAGUAAAAGCUGAGAGUUCCUCUCAGAGGAGCAGAAUUGAGCUGCUAAGAAGACCCCAGACAAGUCAGGAUGCCUGGAAGAACUUUAGUCCAACCUGUUGAGCUGCCUGCAGGCCAUGCAGUGUGCUCCAGGUUCCCAGCUUUUGCAAGCUAUCAGCCAUACUGGGGUGGGCUUGGUGAUGCAGCUGUCUUUGAGAGAUUGGAAGAGAGUC
This is a non-coding RNA of Peromyscus maniculatus bairdii (prairie deer mouse), 1424 nucleotides long. Lineage: Eukaryota; Metazoa; Chordata; Mammalia; Rodentia; Cricetidae. The record is from RefSeq and is a predicted model, not a curated record.